AUGCAGCGCCCAAGAGUGGCGCUCCAAGCACGCCCAUCAGGCCAUCAGCAUGCAGGCAGCGGCUGCCAUGCAACGGCCACGACGACACUCGAGCUGCGGUACAGCAAGUUCGUCGGAGCUGCGUUGCAAACGGACGCCACCGCCCGAGCUGCGAUACAGCGAGGCCGCCGGAGCUGCGAUGCAGCAAGGCCGCCGGAGUUGCGAUGCAGCAGCAGCCGCUGUCAGAGCUGCGACGCAGCGGACGCGUCGCCGCCGGAGCUGCGAUGCAGCAGCCGCCGCCGCCGCCGGAGCUGCGAUGCAGCGUUCCUCGACGCCGCUGGAGCUGCGAUGCAGCGGUCCUCGACGCCGCCGGAGCUGCAAUGCAAUGGUCCUCGAUGCCACCAGCGAAAUCCUAUGACGAACCUGUGUCGCAGACUCGCAGCACCAUGCGUGUUGCUAUGCAGCUCCACCAGUGGUGAGACCCGGGUCGCAGCAUGA
RNAcentral lists this ribosomal RNA (477 nucleotides) under Triticum aestivum (bread wheat). Its description in RNAcentral is "partial small subunit ribosomal RNA". Lineage: Eukaryota; Viridiplantae; Streptophyta; Magnoliopsida; Poales; Poaceae. The record is from RNAcentral.